UACGUAGGUGGCGAGCGUUGUCCGGAAUUACUGGGUGUAAAGGGAGCGUAGGCGGGAGUGCAAGUUGAAUGUUAAAUCUAUCGGCUCAACCGAUAGCCGCGUUCAAAACUGCAUUUCUUGAGUGAAGUAGAGGUUGGCGGAAUUCCUAGUGUAGCGGUGAAAUGCGUAGAUAUUAGGAGGAACACCAGUGGCGAAGGCGGCCAACUGGGCUUUACUGACGCUGAGGCUCGAAAGCGUGGGGAGCAAACAGGAUUAGAUACCCCUGUAGUCCCUGA
RNAcentral lists this ribosomal RNA (275 nucleotides) under uncultured prokaryote. RNAcentral's name for it is "partial 16S ribosomal RNA". It matches the Rfam family "Bacterial small subunit ribosomal RNA", at positions 524 to 800 of the family's 1533-position model. The record is from RNAcentral.